GCCCGCUCAGAAACUUAAAGGAAGUUGACGGGGCCCGCACAGGCGGUGGAGUAUGUGGUUUAAUUCGAUGCAACGCGAAGAACCUUACCUGGUCUUGACAUCCCGGAGACCCUUAGGAAACUAGGGGGUGCUUCCAUCUGGAAGAAUCUGGAGACAGGUGCUGCAUGGCUGUCGUCAGCUCGUGUCGUGAGAUGUUGGGUUAAGUCCCGCAACGAGCGCAACCCUUGCCUUUAGUUGCCAGCAGUUCGGCUGGGCACUCUAAAGGGACUGCCGGUGUUAAACCGGAGGAAGGUGGGGAUGACGUCAAGUCCUCAUGGCCUUUAUGACCAGGGCUACACACGUACUACAAUGGCCGAUACAAAGGGCAGCGACACUGCGAGGUGAAGCCAAUCCCGUAAAAUCGGUCUCAGUCCGGAUUGGAGUCUGCAACUCGACUCCAUGAAGUUGGAAUCGCUAGUAAUCGUGGAUCAGCAUGCCACGGUGAAUACGUUCCCGGGCCUU
This 501-nucleotide ribosomal RNA is filed under the name uncultured Desulfobulbus sp. RNAcentral describes it as "bacterial SSU rRNA". It matches the Rfam family "Bacterial small subunit ribosomal RNA", at positions 887 to 1382 of the family's 1533-position model. The record is from RNAcentral. Lineage: Bacteria; Pseudomonadati; Thermodesulfobacteriota; Desulfobulbia; Desulfobulbales; Desulfobulbaceae.